This is a long non-coding RNA of Passer domesticus (house sparrow), 757 nucleotides long. RefSeq lists it as uncharacterized. NCBI's taxonomy places the organism in Eukaryota, Metazoa, Chordata, Aves, Passeriformes, Passeridae. The transcript is spliced from 6 exons. The record is from RefSeq and is a predicted model, not a curated record.
UGUGUCUCAGGUGUGCUCAGGUGAGUUUUGGGAUGUUCCAGGUGUGUCCAGGUGAGUUUCCAGGUGGUUUUGGGGUCUCUCAGGUGUGCCCAGGUGUGCCCAGGUGUGCUCAGGUGCAGGGCCGGAAGGGCAGCGUGGUGACGCCCCCAGGUGAGUUUCCAGGUGAGUUUUGGGAUGUUCCAGGUGAGUUUCCAGGUGUGUCCAGGUGAGUUUUGGGAUGUUCCAGGUGUGCUCAGGUGUGCCCAGGUGUGCUCAGGUGCAGGGCCGGAAGGGCAGCGUGGUGACGCCCCCAGGUGUGUCUCAGGUGUGUCCAGGUGUGCUCAGGUGAGUUUCCAGGUGUGUCCAGGUGAGUUUUGGGAUGUUCCAGGUGUGCUCAGGUGUGUUCCAGGUGAGUUUCCAGGUGGGUUUUGGGGUCUCUCAGGUGUGUCUCAGGUGUGUCUCAGGUAUCUCUCAGGUGCAGGGCUGGAAGGGCAGCGUGGUGACGCCCCCAGGUGAGUUUCCAGGUGAGUUUUGGGAUGUUCCAGGUGAGUUUUGGGAUGCUCCGGUGUCUCUCAGGUGUGCCCAGGUGUGCCCAGGUGUCCUCAGGUAUCUCUCAGGUGCAGGGCUGGAAGGGCAGCGUGGUGACGCCCCCGUGCAGCUCCAGCCCCGCCUGGGCCCAGGCCAGCAGGUCGCCCCGCGCAGGUGAGGCGCACCUGGCCAGCGCCGCCACCUCGGGCGGGGCCAGGGCGCGGCUCCACAGGUGCAGCUCGGCCAGCUC